Molecule: long non-coding RNA, 693 nt
Filed under: Gallus gallus (chicken)
Lineage: Eukaryota; Metazoa; Chordata; Aves; Galliformes; Phasianidae
Source: RNAcentral
GGUAGAUGAUAUGUGCUAUCCCCUGGGGCUGGAAAAGUGCUGAUUAAUGUGAGCAAGUUGAGCAGAGUGCCACCAGCACGGUCAAUGGCUAGAGCAAAAUUCAUUUUGUGAAGCAGGCCAUAAGGAGAGUGUGGGAGACACUGUUCAGAAGGAGAUCAGCAGCUUUGUGGCCAAGUGUGAAGAUGACAGUGUUGAAAAUGAAGGAGAAUCUUAGGUCAUAAAUAAUUGCCUUGUGACCCAAACGACGGUUUGAACCAGUGGAAGAGAAUUCAGUAGUGGAAGAGCAGCUAUCUGUUCUCCUGGAAGCAUUCCAGAAGCACUAAAGUUGCCCAUAAAGUGAUGUUUUGAAGACUAGUCCAGCUGUUUCCAGUGCCUAUUUUUCAUUCCUUGGAGUGGACGGCCUCCUUUUUGAAUGUUGCUGCAUGGAGGUAAAUAAGUUAAAUCAUGAACAAAAAUCUCUUCGUAUUGUUUUGUAUCAGUUUUUAAUGACCAGCAAUCUACUAACAAAAGUCUUGUAACUGAUUGGUAGAAUCUUAAAAUGGCCCAGGCUGGAAAGGACCCCAGAAGAUGAUCAGGAACAACCUUUAGAGACUAACAACCUUUCAGACAUAAACAAAGUCGUAUUCAUAAAUGUAGAUAAACAAAAUCUGAUCAGCUUUCUCUGUAACUUUUGGAUCAAUACGCGUACAGUCG